RNAcentral lists this transfer RNA (68 nucleotides) under Loxodonta africana (African savanna elephant). It matches the Rfam family "tRNA". From Rfam's summary of the family: Transfer RNA (tRNA) molecules are approximately 80 nucleotides in length. Their secondary structure includes four short double-helical elements and three loops (D, anti-codon, and T loops). Lineage: Eukaryota; Metazoa; Chordata; Mammalia; Proboscidea; Elephantidae. The record is from Rfam by way of RNAcentral.
GUAAUGGUAGUUCAGUGGUAGAAUUCUUGCUUUUCAUGGAGACCCGGGUUUGAUUCCUAGCCAAUGCA